UACGGGGGGGGCAAGCGUUGUUCGGAAUUACUGGGCGUAAAGGGCUCGUAGGCGGCCAACUAAGUCAUACGUGAAAGCGCCCGGCUCAACCGGGAAGGGUUAUGCCAGACUGACGAGCUAGAGAGCGAGAGCGGGACGUGGAAUUCCGGGUGUAGUGGUGAAAUGCGUAGAGAUCCGGAGGAACCCCAGAGGCGAAGGCGGCGUCCUGGCUCGCAUCUGACGCUCAGACACGACAGCAUGGGGAGCGAACGGG
This 253-nucleotide ribosomal RNA is filed under the name uncultured bacterium. RNAcentral's name for it is "partial 16S ribosomal RNA". It matches the Rfam family "Bacterial small subunit ribosomal RNA", at positions 524 to 776 of the family's 1533-position model. The record is from RNAcentral.